GGGACUGCGGAGACAUUACACAAAUAUGAAGGCGGGCUGGAACCUCUCGGGGUUACAGCCUUGCUGAAUUAUUCACCCUUGUCUUUUGCGUACUUCUUGUUUCCUUGGUGGGUUCGCCCACCACUAGGACAAACAUAAACCUUUUGUAAUUGCAAUCAGCGUCAGUAACAAAUUAAUAAUUACAACUUUCAACAACGGAUCUCUUGGUUCUGGCAUCGAUGAAGAACGCAGCGAAAUGCGAUAAGUAGUGUGAAUUGCAGAAUUCAGUGAAUCAUCGAAUCUUUGAACGCACAUUGCGCCCUUUGGUAUUCCAAAGGGCAUGCCUGUUCGAGCGUCAUUUGUACCCUCAAGCUUUGCUUGGUGUUGGGCGUCUUGUCUCUAGCUUUGCUGGAGACUCGCCUUAAAGUAAUUGGCAGCCGGCCUACUGGUUUCGGAGCGCAGCACAAGUCGCACUCUCUAUCAGCAAAGGUCUAGCAUCCAUUAAGCCUUUUUUUCAACUUUUGACCUCGGAUCAGGUAGGGAUACCCGCUGAACUUAAGCAUAUCAAAA
RNAcentral lists this ribosomal RNA (549 nucleotides) under Alternaria sp. SLM4. Its description in RNAcentral is "eukaryotic LSU rRNA". The stretch from base 184 to 337 matches the Rfam family "5.8S ribosomal RNA". The record is from RNAcentral. Lineage: Eukaryota; Fungi; Ascomycota; Dothideomycetes; Pleosporales; Pleosporaceae.